GAUGAAGAACGCAGCGAAAUGCGAUAAGUAGUGUGAAUUGCAGUAUUCCGUGAAUCAUCGAAUCUUUGAACGCACAUUGCGCCUCCUGGUAGUCCGGGAGGCAUGCCUGUUCGAGCGUCACCAAAUCCAACUCAAGCGGUUUUGCGCUUGGUCGUGGCGGAAGAGUCGGUCUGGUUGCCGUCUCCCCUCCGAAAAUCAACGGCGGAAAGUCACUGGCAGUCAGCGUAGUAGUAUCGUUCGCCGAACAUCCAGUGGCAUUCCUGCCGACGUACCCCCACAAUUCUCGUGAUUGACCUCGGAUCAGGUAGGGAUACCCGCUGAACUUAAGCAUAUCAAUAAGCGGAGGA
RNAcentral lists this unclassified non-coding RNA (347 nucleotides) under soil metagenome. RNAcentral's name for it is "partial contains 5.8S ribosomal RNA, internal transcribed spacer 2, and large subunit ribosomal RNA". The stretch from base 1 to 120 matches the Rfam family "5.8S ribosomal RNA", at positions 35 to 154 of the family's 154-position model. The record is from RNAcentral.